UACAGAGGUCUCAAGCGUUGUUCGGAUUCAUUGGGCGUAAAGGGUGCGUAGGUGGCGCCGUAAGUCAGGUGUGAAAUUUCGGAGCUUAACUCCGAAACUGCAUUUGAUACUGCGGUGCUUGAGGACUGGAGAGGAGACUGGAAUUUACGGUGUAGCAGUGAAAUGCGUAGAGAUCGUAAGGAAGACCAGUGGCGAAGGCGGGUCUCUGGACAGUUCCUGACACUGAGGCACGGAAAGCCAGGGUAGCGAACGGG
Molecule: ribosomal RNA, 254 nt
Filed under: uncultured bacterium
Lineage: Bacteria
Description: partial 16S ribosomal RNA
Rfam family: Bacterial small subunit ribosomal RNA
Source: RNAcentral